GUUAGAACUUGUAAUUUGUCAUCAGUUAUAUCAACAAUGGUUAUGGUUUUUACCUUUACGGUCCUUUUCUCUUCAAUCUCUUGUUUACCGUUUUAUAUAAGGAGGAGGAUGAACAAAGACCUCUCGCCAUCGAAGUAAUCAAACAUUAGAACCAAGUAAAAGCAUUAACAAAGAAGUCUCAAUAUUCGCACUCAUAUAUAUGGGAAAACCAUCAGUUUUGGUAUUGGCGCGGGGGUCUAAAGUAAGCUAACACAGCAAAGACUGUCUGGAUUAAGGUGAGGAUGAAAAGCAAGAUAGCCAAGAGUUUGAACCUUUCCCAGGGAGCAAUGUUAUAGUCUCUCAGUUGGAUCCUCAAAAGGUGGAGGUUUGGAGUGGUGUGCUUGUCCUGGCUGGCCAGAUUGCUCAAGAUUGUAGGCAACUUCUCUUUAUGGUAGGGGUUGUCUGCUUUGAUGAUUCCUUUUUUGGCUAACAGCUUGACAUCUUCAUAGGUACAAAUGAGAUCGUUCAUGAACUGCAGAUAGGAUCUCACCUCGCGUUUGCUCUUGCCCUGUUGUUGACUCUCCUCGUAAUGCUUCAGGCUUUUGAAAACUAGUUCUGUAUCAUCACCAACUGUGAAUACCGGCAAGUAAAGACGAGCAAAGAUGAAGUAGUCUGUAAAACUUAUCUCUGUACAGCCCACCUUUUUCACUUUCCUAAAACGGAUUCCCUUCUUAUUCAACUCGGAGGCGCUAAGAGUCAGGUCCUUGGCUCCAUGGACUCCCCUGCUGUCCCCCAAAUCAACAUCCCCUGUAUCAGCGUCAACGAGGUUGACAUUGCUUAAACUUCGUCCUGGAUCAAGCAUGAAUGAGUGGAGCGCAUGAAGCAAGUCAGUAGGCUGCUGUUCUUCACCCCGAGGCUUUGGUGAUGCAACAGUUUGAUUGGCAACAUGUUCUCGAGCAGGCAGAACAAGCAACUCAUACAUGAUCCUCUUGGGCAGUUGUGAUGGGGUUUCCCAGUUCACUACUUUUAGUAUAUCCUGGAAAAAACUUUGCUUCAUAAAUUCAUUGAGCACCACAAGUGGAAUUUGAUUCCCAACAAAGAACAUCGCCUCAAUCCACCUGUUGACAUCCUCUUUCUUCUUUUUGUUGCCAAAGAUAAUGUGAUUGCCGGGAUAACCCAGUUGCUCGGAAGAAGCUCCGAGGAUGAAUAAUGCCAACUGGAGGAAGAAGCAACCAUCUUCAAUCAUCAUCCACCGGAACUGAGACUCUGUCAAGUUACGCACGACUCCCCCAGCAUCAGCAUAACUAGCUCUGGCUCUUUUCUCUACCCUUCUCGUUGCAAACAAGUAAUUUUCUAUGGUUCUGUUUCUGUUCCCGCCUCCAGAUUUUUCCAGUACUUUAUCCCACGCUUCCUUCUUUCCACUGACCUCGGAUUCGUCUUCACGGUAAAAUGGGCCAAAUCUGGGGUGCGACACUUGGAGCUUUCCCUUUUCUCCAAGUUCAUCGAGGACUGAAGGGUGGCACUUGCAUAUCCUACAAACGGGCUUCUCAUUGACUGCGACUAAUGGGAUGUCUUCAGGGUCAUCUGAGCCGUCUACCAGUUCGUAUUUGUGCCAAGAAGUAGACAUAUUCGAUCUGCCUCAGGUCAAAACGCAGAUUCAACUUAUUUAUGGCUCCUAAUCAUACAACAAUUUUACUUCUUUUGAACCAAUAAAAUUGGGAAAAGAAAAACGUUUAGGAGUUUCAUAUCAGAAAGAACCGGUUACCCCUUUUCACUGAAGCGGACCUCAAAAAGGAAAAACAGUUGAAACGAAAAGCAUGUCGUGAAUUAACCAGAUGGAAGAACAGUUUAGUCUAGGUUGAAGGUUCCUCAGCUCCAACGAAAUUCUUGGCUGGAAAAACAAUAUGAGAGAGUGAAAGUUCAUAGUAGCAAUGAUGCUAGGUUGAAGAAGAAAGAGCUAAAGGAACAGAGCCGUCUGCAGUUGGCUAGUUGGAACUUGGAAGCAACCCUUCACGGAAAUGAGAGAACCAACCAGCAAGAAUUUGCAAGAAUUAGUGUUAAUAAGAAUUUGCAAAAUGGAAUAAUUGCAGAAAGCUCCCCUAAGGUUUCUAAUAAUUUCACUAGCUUCCCCUAAAGUUUAUAAAAUUACAUAAACCUCCCCUGAGAUUAAGGUUUUGAUAACAAAAUUAGUCCAAUUAAAAAAGUAACAUUAAAAAAGUACUUUAAGAAGAGAGAUGAAACUUAUAUUUCAUAAAUACCCUUUAUGCAUGUAUAUAAGUUGUAUUAGUAAAAGAAUAAAAAUAAUUAAAAGUUAGAAAUAAUUAGUACACACAUUUUACCACUCAAAAAGUUUGCAUUUAAUAAUUUAGAUAAUACAAAUAAGUAAUAAAACUAAAUUAAUGAUCACAAGAUUCAGCAAAACAGACUAGUCAUCUCUUUUAACAUGAUAUUUGUUAUGAUUCUUGUGAUUUUAAAAAGAAAAUUUUUUUCAAAUGUUGUUUUUUUCCCCUCCUUUCUAAUUGAUUGAAUUUUCAAAUUCUUGUGAUUAAUAGAAUUUGACAAUGAUCAGAAAUCAAUUGUACACAAGGUAAGAAAAAGGGUUUUGAUAGAAGAAAAAAUACAAACCAAAAGAAAGUUGUUCGUGAGGAUUUUUUUUUUCCAAAAUUUGAAAGUUUUUCUGUUUAGAAUCACAAAAAUCAUAGCAAAUAUCAUGUUAAAAGAGAUAACUAGCCUAUUUUAAUGAAUCUUGUGAUCAUUAAUACAGUUGUGUUACUUAUUUGUGUUGUCUAAUUUAUUAAAUGUGAACUUUUUGAAUGGUUAAAUGUGUAUAUUAAUUGUUUCUAACUUUUAGUUAUUUUUAUUCUUUUACUAAUACAAUUUAUAUAUAUGCAUAAAGGGUAUUUAUCGAAUAUAAGUUUCAUCCGUCUCCCUAUAGUUCUUUUUUAAUGUUAUUUUCUCUAAUUAGACUAAUUUUAUUAUCAAAAUUUUAACUUUAGGGGAGCUUUGUGUAAUUUUAUAAACUUUAAGGAAGACUAGUGAAAUUGUCAGAAACCUCAUGGGAGGUGAGGUUUCUGAAAUUAUCCCUCGCAAAAUUUGAUACCCUCUAGCUUACCUAUUGGUUGCCCUAUAUAAACUAUGCAGAGUGAAUUUUCUAGCCCCACCCCUUCCCCUUUCUGUUUGGGCCCUUUGGGCCACUGUGCCGAGUGAAUUUAAUACUCUAGAUUUGAGAAACAUUUGCAAUUACCAUUUUACGGGACAAACAACUUUAUUGGAAACAUAUCAAACUUUUCCAUAUAAGAUCCUAAAAAAACCAUCCACGCAGAUAUCUCAGGCAUUGUUUAUCUUGUCCCGAAUCGGCUCAAAUAAUUCAGGAAAUCAAACAGAAGUUAGAUAAGUUUAGAAUGAGGAACCUAUGCUGUCCAUUCUUUCUUAAGUUUGGUGAACAUAAGAAUGGUUUCAUCUAUGGUGGUGGAAAGCUGACUCACCUAUGCAUGGUGGUAAGAGCAAAGGAAAUUAGGACAACACAUCGCAGUGGAGCAGGACAAAAAAAAAAAACUAUUAAAAGUAGUGACCGAGUAGACUUCGGUCCCGUUUGAUAAGUGAAUUUUUUGGGUGUUUGUCUAAAAAUUUACUGUAACUUACUGUAGAAGUUUUUUAAAAAAAUUUUAGAGUGUGUAAAUUUUUGAAUAUUUUGAACUGUAUAGUGUAAAAACUUUGAAAAGUUUUUUGAGGUCAUUGUAGCUAAAGUUUUUAAAAAACUUAUAGUAGACAAACUUGGCAAAAAACUUGUCUGCCAAACAAUGCCGAAGUUUCACGCAAGGUGGUCCAUUUUAGUUUUGGGAGAAAUAACAUGUAUGCCCCUCAACAACUUAUAGGCAUUUGUAUGCACCAAAAAUUGUCAUUAAUUGGGGAUUAGCUCGUCAUGCCUAAUUGGCGGGAAACAAGUUGCAAAGAGUGGGAAGAGUUGAAAAAAUUGGUCAGAUGCAAUAAUCCUUGGGAUAUGCCGAAGUGAAGCCAUGUGUACUCCAAUCUUAAUUUGUAAAUGCUUACUUGAUAAAAGAGUUAUGAUGGUUUAAAUUUAAUUGUUAGUUGAUAUAGAUGAUUAAUUAUAUACAUAAAUAAUUAAAAGAAAUUAAUUUUGUAUAAAAUUAAUUUUUUAUGUAAUUACAUUUAUUAAAGAAUUUUGGUUUAUAAGGUUAUUGUAAUUUAGUAGUUACAACAUUUAGAGUAGUUACGAGUAGUUAUAAUAGCAAAAUGUGAUUCAGUAGUUAGAGCAAAAAUUAGUUUUUCUUUAAGGAUAAAAUAGAAAUUUUUAAAAAUGACAUAAAAAAGUUUACACUAAUUGUGAUCCCUCUAACUUUAUAUAUAGCAUAGAUAGUGGCCUUUUAAAUAUUAACAUUAUCUAAUGAUAAGGAUAACCAAAUUAUAAUAAAAAUCAAAAUUUAAUCUUAAAAGUAAGUGCUAAAUUUAAAUAUUUUGUUGUGAUAUGGAUAUUGAUAUGGAUUAUCUAAUGAUAGCAUAUCCAUUGAAACAAGCCGGCAAUGAUAGCUAGAUAAAUGUCAAUUAAAAUCAUGUGUUCAAAUUAACAUACAUAUCCGAACAAAUGCACUUGACGAUAAAUUGGAAUUGAAAUUGAUUAAGUUGGUCGAUUAGCAUAGAUGAAUUAUCAUAAACAUAAUUCGCAUGUUCUAAACUAAGAUAGAUAUCAUAAUCCUUUUUCUGGGGGACGGGGGGUUUUAUGUAGUGUGUAAUUGAAUUUUUUACAUUGAACCAAAUUAUUGUCUAAGCAACUGAGUCACAAAAGUUAUGGAUGAUAAAUUGAAAUUAUUUGAAAAAUUGGCAGUUAGAUUGAAAGAUUUAAAAAAUUGGCAAUCAAGUAAUCAUGAAAAAUGUUUGCAAUCAGCCUAAUGCAUGAAAUUAUUGGAGAAUAAUUUCAAAUUUGAAAAGGAAAAUAUGAAUAUGAGUAAAUGUGAGUUGAUUGAACAAUAAAUUUGGCUAUUUCAUUGUUAACCAUUUCAUUAGUUCAUGUUAUCUUUGUAUGUUAACAAUUUCAUUGUUUUAUUAGAAUAAUAAUUUGAUUUCAUAUUCACCAAAUCAAACUCUAAUCGAAUUGAAAUCAAAAUUCAAUAUAAAUCUUUUGACAGAUUUUAUCAAUAUUGAAAUUUGGUUAAAACACCAAUCUCGGUUCUAAUUGACCUUUGUAUUUUUUUUCGAAGUAAAGUUAGUAAUUGAUAAUAAUGUCAUAGUGUGUUCAUGUGUGAGUAGCUAUUAAGUAACUAGGCUAUUAAGUGUUGUGAUUGUAAUCAGAAUGUAAAAGAUAAUUAAGACUAUUAAUAAUCCACAAUACCUUUUUUUUUGGCAAAAAACCACAUACUAUAUUUUGGAUAAUAUGGUAUUGUGUUGAGAAUAUGUUGGCAUUCAAUUUACACAAAAUAUUUGAACGGAGAAAAGAAUGAUUCAUUAAUUUUCAUAUAUCCAAACCAUAAGAUAUUGCUUUUGUAUGGAUUUUUACUAGGUAUGCAUUACACUAAUCUUUUAGAACUACAUCUUCAAUGUAUUACCUACUCAAGUUUUGAUUAUUAAAUUAUCCAGUUAUAGUAAGGGUUAAGAUAAAUUAAUGUUGCAAGGUUUAACAGUGUUCUUAGAUAAAUCUCGAGGUGAUACAUUCUUUUUUUUUGGUUAAAUAAAAUUUAUCCCCUUAAGGUAUAUCCUACUUUUAAAAAAAAAAUUGUUUGGUCUCUCUUCUUCUUUUUUUUAUUCGAAAUUAGUUAUCUUUUUUAAUUGAAUUUAUCCCUUUAAGUCAAUUACCCAUUUUGAGAAUCUUGUAUUCCUUCUUUUUGCAAACUAGAGGGUGAUACUUAUCCAUUAUAAAUAUUGUUUUUUUAAUUAUCACUUAAGUCUAUCUAAUAGUGAAGUUUAAUUAUAUCAAUCCAAGUAAUUUUGGGUGAAAAUUUGGAGAUUGGUAGUUGGCGACUUUAGUUGACUUCCGCAAUUUCACCCCUCUACCCUUAGCCCUUGCUAAAUCUUGAAAUUUUUAAUUUUCAUUUACCGCUAUUAUUCGGGGAAUUGUACCCCUUUCGUUUCAUUGUUAACGUGAUAUUUUCACUUUUUUAUUGUUUCAAAAUAAAAGUCUCGUGAUAAAAGUCAAACAACUUGCAAUACAAUUUUUCUUUUACACGCUUAGUAAUAAUGAUAAGAUUUCAUCAAUUAAUAAUAAAUAAUUAUAUCAAUUAAUAAUAAACAAUUAUAUAUGACCCACCAUAAUACAUGCACACUUUCACAAGUCAUAUGGCCUUUUGUUUUUAGCUGGCUAUUUCAGUUUCAGUGUUCAAACAAUGGAUAAGAUUGGAAGAAUAUGAAAAGUGCAGUCCAACAUUUUAUUGUGCAUAAUAAAAUAAGUGCUAUUCCCAAAAAAUGUCCCAAUUUUGUGGGACAGAGGGAGUAGUUCGCGGCUUCAUCAGUGGGGAUUUCCAGAUUCCACCCACUACAAAGCCAUUUGUAUUUGCUGUUCACUCCCUCGUACUAACCCGCAAUUUGUCUUUUAGUUUUGGCUUGUGCCGGUGACCUUAUCUGAAUUGGGCCCCAAACACACAAAGAAAGAUGGCCAUGCAUGCUGAAUUGUCUUGUUAAUAUUUCUUCAGCUUAACCAACUACUCUAGCCUAGAGUAAUUCACUAUCAGGAAGAGCCUUAAAACUCUUCUUGAGUAUACGUCAAUAGAUUGAAUUUCUUGACCUAUAUUCUAAUACAAAAUUUUUUGUAAAUUUUAAUAGUGAAUGUAAAGGCACCCGUUUGAUUCAAUGACAGCUCAGUCCUCUCCAGUUCUCCAUUAACUCCCUUUGAUCGACCCAUGCACCUUAAUGUAGAGUAGAAGCAGGUGUAGAAUAACAUUUAUCGUAUCAAAAAAAAAUAAUAUUCUUUCUGCAUAGGGUGGAAAGUUACCCUAAUCUUAAAAAAUUGAUUCCACCCUUGAAGUCACCCUACUUUUAAAAAAUUGAUCAGGAAGGACGCAUACUUUUUUUUAUUAUUUAUAUAAUAACAAUUGAAUAGGACGGACAACUUUCCACUACCCUACUUUUGAAAAAUUGAUCAGUAAGGACGCAACUCUCCGCCCUAAGAGAGCGACCCUACUUUUAAAAAAUUGAUCAGGAAGGACGCUUAGUUUUUUUUUCUUAUACCAUAUAAUAACAAUUGAAUAGGUCGAAACAACUUUCCACUACCCUACUUUUAAAAAAUUGUCCGGGAAGGACGCAACUCUCCGUCCUAAAAGCGACCCCACUUAUAAAAAAUUGAUCAGGAAGGACGCAUGCUUUUUAUAUAAUUGAGCGGGAUGAACAGGGAAAAGGACAAGCAAUGAGACAAGCUCUCUUUGGGGUAUAUUAUUUUAUUAUUAGACAAGAGGGAGAUUCUUUUUGAGGAUAUGGGAACCACUACUUUUGAAAAAUCGAUUAGGCAGGAUGCAUACUUUUUAGGGAUAAUUUUGGAAAUCUCCCCUAAGAUUUCAUGAAAUAUCACUAAGCUUCCUCCAUAUUUUCAAAAUCUCUCUUAUCACCCCUCAAGUGAUUGUGGUGUCACAUGUCAACAUCAAAAUGGAUGAAUUAUCAACAAUAACCUCAUCACUUCUAGCAAUUAUCUAGCAUAUGAAAAGCAAAAAAAAAAAAGAAAAGAAAGCAUGUAAUAGCCUAAAGUCUGGGAAACAGUUGGCCCACUUACAAAAUAGAAAUUGUUUUGAUUUCUAGUUCAAUUUUUUUCUUUAACAUUGGACUUUAUAAUUUGAAUUGAAUUUGAGGCCAAUACAUAAUAGUGUUGACUUUUCAUAUGCACUUAGUAUAAAUCAUUAUUGAUAUUGUGCAAGCGUCUUGAUAAUUUUUAAUAUAACCAAAUAUUUUUUUAAAAAAAUGUAUCCAUGGCCACCUUUGUUUUUGGUUUCAUACUUACCUUAGUUCACUAGUUAUUUCUUAAUCUAUUAUCCUUAGUUAGGGUAAAGAAAUCAGCACCAUGUCUUUUGACAUCCAACACUGGUAGCAAGUUUAGAAAUGAGAAUAAGAUCCUUAUUAUUACCCUUUUGAUAUCUUUAUUAAUAUGUUUUGUUUUAUUUUUAUUUUUCUUUGAAUUUUCUUCCUUACACUGAUAUAAUCAGAACAAGUGGCUAUGAUAAUGUUCUUUGGAAUACCAAAUUUUUUUGUGCGUACGUCCAAUAAUAAUACCCUUAUAACAAAGGCUAGUUGAAAGGAAACUAACUUUGUUUAUAUUGAAAAAAACUGGGAUGGUUUUGAAUGGUUGUCCUUGGGAGUUUUUGUAAAAAAAAGUUAAAUAUAUAUUUUUCUAUUUACAUUGUUGAUUACAAAGUUUUAAAGUUCCAAGAAGGUGUACAAAUAACACAGCACAAACAAAUAAACAAGAGUAAAAUGUCAUACUUUUUGAUAGCUAGUCAUUUUCUUCUACCAAUUUUCUCUCAAUCUGCCCAUUUUCUGAAGCUAUUUCUGCGUUUUAAUAUUGCUGCCAGGAAGCCAAAACUAACCGUUGCCCUCCUUACGGUCGUUCACUUUUCUCACUUGCAGUCCAAUUUUCAUGCAUUUCACUCUUUGACCCCCUCACUUUCUACAUAGAUUUUUUUUUGUCAGCUUAAGGGUAUUAAGGGAACUAAAACACACUCUCUCUCCUCCAAAAUGCAUUUUCUAUUAAUACUUUUGGUUAGAGGGGCUUAUAUUGUUAACAAAAUAUCGAUUCAAAGGGUGGUAAGAGAGAUUUUGAAAACGUGAGGGAGCUUAGUGAUAUUUUACGAAACCUCAGGAGAAGUUUAUGAAAUUAUCCCUACUUUUUAUUAUAUAGUAAUGAUUGAAGAGGAUGGACAGGGAAAAUGGACAAGCAAUGAGACAAGCUCUGGUUGGUUGGGGUGUAAACUCCCUUCUCGACUCUACCUACUACCAUAUCUUUAGGCAUGAAGCCAGUCAGAGGGGGAAAUGUUUUAGGACAUAGCUAUCACAAACUAUGAUGCGUAUGAUCUGGAGUCUCCACCUUUGGACUGGAAUCUCAAACCAAGUUUGCAUUUUGUCACAUCUAAAUUCUAAACAAAAAGAAAGAAACAAAGAGGAUAUAGAAACUCCUAUACCCAUGCAUGCAGCAACAUAGUAGUAAAAAAGAGACUCUAGCUUAGCUUUAUAAGAAAGACUCAACCAGAGAAUUAGAUCAAAGCCUCUGUAGAAUUAACUAGACGAACACCAUACAAAGAUUCUAGUGAACAAUCAAAGACGGAAAAACUUACCAACAUUUUUUUUUUUAAAGGAAAAUUUCCUGCUGUGAAAUCGAGCUCCUUUCACAGUCCACGGCUGAAAAUUAGUUUUUACUAUCAUUUAUCGUGAAUGAACAAACUUCGAUAAAACGUAUGAGCUUGAUUAGUUUAUGGGCUCAGUAAAUUAAUUACUAGUUCUUUGGUUGGUUGUAUAAACCAAAACUUUCGCGCAACACGUGAUGGCUCUUAGUUAACUACGUAGUUCAUUAAAGAGCGUAAAGAUUCUGCAACAAACAAACCAUAAAAGAAUAAAUAAGCAGAAGGACAGCAGCACGAUCCGCAGGCUACUGAUUUUGGGAAGAUGACCGCCGUGGCAAGCAUCUCAGCUGCCGUGAGGAGGCUUCAAGAAUUGUUGCUCGACGAAGCGAGAGCUUUAGGCCAAUUAAAACCGGUGGUCGAGGGCACUGUGUUGCCGAGACUGCAGGAGUCGGAGGAAAUGUUGAUGGGGCUACCAGCCCAUAAAAUAAGAGUAAAAGGAGCCCAGGAUGAUCUGGAAUUUGGAAGAAGGACCAGAAGUCUGUUGUCUUCUAUUGAGGAUAAGGUGGAAUCGUAUGCCCUCCAACCUGGAUCUGCAACUAGCAGUAGUCGUGAAGCAUGUUGCGGUGGUGGUGGUGGUGAGAAUACAGCGUUUGGGAAGCUCGUAGCUGACUUGAAAGUUGCUGUUGAUGGACUCAAGGAUUGCAUUACAUCCUACUGUGCAGAACAAAAUCAAUAUCAACAGAUUCGAAAGCUAGGACAAAAGUCCCAAUGGCUCGUCUCUCGAGCAAAUUUCUCUAGCGGCCGCUGGGGAGAUGAAGCUUUUGGAUUGGAGGAGGAAGUACGUAAGCUGACAAGGGUUUUAGUCAGUGAAGAGACUGAUCCCAGAGUCGUUUUCAUAGUCGGAAUGGGUGGAAUCGGUAAAACAAUCCUUGCCAAAAAACUGUUCAAUCAACCUGAUGUUCGGCAUCAUUUUAAGGGAUUCGCCUGGGUCUAUGUAGGUGGUUACUGGAGCACCAGAGAUAUCUUGGUAACUAUAAUCGACCAACUGUCCUCCUUGCCGAGGAAGAAACGGGAGGCGAUGAUGAAAUCCGAGGAAGUGGAGCUGGCCCCACAGGUGUUCACAAUUCUACAGCGAAAAAGUUGCCUGGUCGUUUUGGACGACUGUUCCGACCCUGAACUCUUGGAUAUCCUAAGCAUUGCCUUCCCAUUUGCGGUGAGGAGUGCUUGUGCAAGCAAAUUCAUUCUCACCACUCGAAACCGGAAUUUAAGCAGAUUUCUUGAUCCAGGUGCAGUAUACAGCUUGCGCAUGGAAUCACUGAAUCCCAACAAGAGCUGGGAUCUAUUCUCUCAUAUUUGGCGCAAGCUAAAGGGUCAGUCUCUCUCAACUUAAAACAAAACAAUCAUCUUUGCUCUCUCUCUCUCUCUCUUGUUUUGGUAUUCACGUCUUCAUUUACUUUUUAAUAGAUUUAAGGGAAAGAAAAAAGAAGAAGAAGAAGCCCAAUAAUUUCAUGGUGCAAAGUGGUAUUAACAAGAGAUUUAGCUACAAACUUGACAAUGAAUAUUCAUAAACAUUCCCGACCAAAUCACUUGGGGAAGAACAUUUGCCUGCAAUUUCAAUCAAAAUUAAGCUCCUCUCAUACAUUAAUUCUCUACAAUUAGCUAGAAAUUAAUCAAAGAAAAUCAAAAUUCCAUAGUUCUACUGCUCAUGAGCAGCCCUACUUGAUGAGAGAAUUAGCAACAAAUAUACUAUAUCUACAAUUGAUUCUGUGUUACAUUUGUAUAACCUGCUUUAAGCUAAUCAAAAUAGAAGAGAAUCUGACGGGAUUUCCCGUGGAAGGAAGCCAUAUUGCCACAAUUAAACUGGCAAGAGACACUCCCACCAAGACUUAAAUGUGGUACCAACAACCCGCAACCCAAGAGGCUGUUGGGCAAUUGAUUUUUUGUUACAUGGUACUUCAUAGACUUGGGUGUUGACGCUUGUACAGUUGAAAGUAAUCUUAACUUUUUCGCAAGGCAUUUUUUGAUGACGUUCCAAUUAUUGUUAUUCGUGACACUUCUAUCUGAUGUCAUUUUCUAAAAAGCGCCAAUGUGGAAUGCCAAUAAUAACUGUUUAAAAAAAUACUUGAGCUUGGGACAAAAUCCUGGUUAACAAAAUUGUAAUUUACAGAUGCUCCUGUUGGUAGAUUUUUAAAGAAGAUAUAACCCUCAUUUGAAUCUCAACGUCUUGGUUUGUUUCGUUAAUUGGCUUCUGGUUUUCUCUACAGAGGGUCCGAUCCCAGGGAGACUGGUGCCAAUUGCAUGGGAAAUAUUAGCUCGAUGCGAAGGCUUACCAUUGGCUAUCAUUGUACUGGCGAGCAUGUUAAGCACUGGAAGGGAAGGUGAGCGGAAUAGGGUGCUUUACAAUCUUCUUGAGAACCGCCACCAGAUGGAUGGAUUUCCCAUAGGCUUUCAUUGCCUACAGUCAGCUUACUACGCUUUGCCACUGCGCCUUAAGGCGUGCUUUGUUUAUUUGGGAAACUUCCCAAACAAUUCAAGAAUACAAGUAGAGAAGUUGUGCCAGCUUUGGAUUGCUGAAGGUCUGAUAUCAGCUGAGGAUAGGGCAAGCGAAGAAACAAUGAUGGAUGUUGCAGCAAAAUAUUUCGGCGAAUUGGCACUAAGGAGCUUGGUAACUCUGGAAGAAGAUGAAGUGUCAGACUUAAGGCUCAUGUCCGGCCACAUUCAAGGCCUGAUAAGAAGUCUCUGCAUAAUAGAGGGAAGAGAGGACGAAUUUUUUGAGAUCAUGCCUGGCUCGGAACCAUAUAUGAUUUCAAAAGCACAAAGAUGUGCUAUAUAUUUCGAUAAAUAUUACAGCGUAUCAAAUGUUAUCCCCACUGCUAACCUUCGGUCUCUUUUAUGCCUCAACUCUGAACAAUCAAGGCAAGGAUCUAGGUGGCCACAGGGACUUUUUAAUUUCAGAAAACUUAGACCGCUAAGAGUUUUAGAUUUUGACAGAGUUAGUUUUCAGGAUGGAAAUCUUCCUCAAGGAGUAGGAGAGUUAGUCUACUUGAGAUACUUGAGUUUUCGAGGAUGUUACCUCGAGGAUUUGCCAUCAUACAUUGGCAACCUUUUGUACUUGCAGACCCUCGACCUAAGGGUUCAAAAAGAUUGCAUAAUGACCAUUUCAAAUGUCAUUUGGAAGCUUGAGCGAUUAAGACAUCUGUAUUUCCCUCUAGCAUUUCAAACUCCUGAUCAUCGUGGAAUGUUGAAACUAGAUAGCUUGAAACAACUAGAGAUACUUGAGGGAUUGAAUACAAGUGUGUGCAGAGCUAAGGACCUCAUAAAGCUGACCAACCUUCGGAUUCUAGCAGCAACUGCAGAAGGAAACCUCGAGGACUUGGAGCUCAUCAUCCGCUGCAUAGGCAUCAACUCAAGCCACUUGAAGAGGACAUCGCUUGACAUUAAAAAGUUUGAUUGUUACUCUGAGGAACGGCUGUCUUUCAUACAAAGAUUAUUCAGCUGUCCUGUUCUUGAUACUCUGCAAAUAGAAGGGCACAUAGGAAAAUUGUCAGACAUUGGUACAAUCUCUGGAAGAUUUACUGAGAUUGUGUUAAAUGGUUCUGAACUUGAUCAAGACCCUAUGCCAACACUGGGGAACCUUCCCAACCUAAGGAUCCUUGUCUUAGAAGUCGAGGCAUACUUAGGAAAGAAAUUGCAUUGUUCUGAUACAGGUUUUCCUGAACUCAGGAGUUUAAAGCUCUCCAAGUUGUACAACUUAGAAGAAUGGGAGGUGGACGAAGGAGCAUUGCAAAAGCUUUCUACUUUAGAGGUUUCCAUGUGCAGGAGAAUGAAAAAGCUUCCUCAGGGAUUACAAAGCAUCAUUACUCUCAGAAAGCUGAAGGUCAGCAUGAUGCCACAACAAUUCUUAGGCAGGCUACGAAUGAAAAAUGGCAGAGGAGGAGAAGAUCGUCACAAAAUCAACUCAAUGUGUUCAAUAGAAUUUGGAAAUGAUGAUCCUUGGCUUGAGUUCACCAAUUCAGCAAGUCAGGUAAUCCUUCACCAUCUCCCCGUGGAAUUUUACUUACAUGUCAAAUCUUUCAUCCUUCAAGAAAAUUUGUUGCUACAGGUAGGACUUCUCGAUGCCAAACACACUAGUAAAUAUUCAUUCUUAGACUAAGUUAAUACAAGAUGGAAGUAAUGUACAGUUGGAUACAUUGCACAAGCUGUCACUGUAGUUGAUGCUUCAGAGAAGGCCUCGUUUUUUAAUCCCUCUAUAUUCAGUUUUUAGGUCAAUAAAAUUUUACUUCUAUAUAAAAGCAGUCCUAAACACCUAUGAUUUCAUAUACCUUUUUGGGUUUUUUGAAUCUUCAAUUUUCAGGACCAAAAUAAACGAGCACAGACUUAGAAUUUUCUGUGCCUCUUCAGUCUUAUAGUCAAGCUUGGAAAAUAGAGUAACAAGCUAGUUUAUUGUGUUUAAUACUCCACAUUUCAGCUAGCAAUACAGGAAUUCCCAGAAACAAUAACACUAACUACGAUCGAAUCCCAAUCCCAGAAACAGCUUGAAUGACUUGAGAGCAUUCCUUGAAUAAUGUUACAAGUCUAAUAGAGAUGUUGUCAGAUUAGACAUCCUAACUUCUUUUAUUUAUUUAUUUAUUGGUCUUCUAUUUUGCAGCAAAAAAAUUCCUUUGAUGGCAGAAUCACCGAAUCUCAGGCUUCAAGUUCAACUCAGAGUCCAAACCUAACUGGAAGUUUUGCAUGCUUACCAGAAACUGAGAGGGAAAGAGAUGUUUACCUUCAAUGAUCCCAGUUGAGAAAAUGCACCAAAUUGUGAACUUUCAUCUCCACUUUAACUUGCUUGUGCCCUGCUCCAACAUUGUGGCAUGGCCUAGGUAUGCUCUUCUCAGAAGUCAGACCAGAGAAGAAAGAUGGAUAUCAGUCAAGCUCAAGCUCCAGACACCGUCAGAAGUUCAGUCUGGACUCCAAGAAACGAAUUGAAGGAGGAUGUUUACCUUAGCAAGAGUUGCACUAGCCAAUCCCUGUUCUUGAGGAAAGGCUUCUUUCCUGCACCGUAGUCUUCACAUCACUCACCAAAUGCCCUGCUUCAAUAUUUUGCCAUUGGUUAAGUGAGUUUUCAAUUGUUAAUUUGAACUUUAUCAUGUCAAAGACUUUCACAUAUAAAAGCUGCAUUCUGAAUUUCCGUUGUUGUAUUUCUAUGUAAUAGUAAAUGCUCUUCUUUGCAUGAAUAAUGUUGGCCACACAAUCUCAUUUUAUGGUCUAAAAUAGUAUUAAUGUUUAUGCUUCUCUCCCUGAUAAGAUGGGUUGAUUAUUGCUAUCUCUAUGCAUAAUGAUUAUUUAGGCCUAAACUAUAUUUAUAAUUAUAGCAAGGUUGAUUGACACCAUCACAUCGUCAAAUAAGUUCUAAAAUUUAUAAUUAUAACCAUAAAGAGCUUCUGCCAAAUUUCUGUAAUUCUAUAUAAGGUCAUGCGAUUAUUUUCUAAGGAAUCUAUCUUUUUAUUUUUUUCAAUUUAGCCCUUGUGCCAACUCUCACUCACGUGUCAUGAGACCUAUUGACUUGGAAUCUUUUUUUUUUUUUAAACCAUAUUUUAACUUCUCUGAUCCCAAAGUGGAUUCAAGCAGGCAUGGUGGAGAAUGGUGGUUUAUGUACAAUUGUUAUAUAUAUAUUUUUUUUUGAUAAAAUCCGUAUAAACGCUAUGGUUGAAAGUUAGGAUGUCCUCUUAUCGUUAAAAAAUGUUCAUAGCACCUCUCAUAAUUCAAACUAAUAUGGAAUUUAAUUAACAACAGGCUUUUCAAAAAUGUUUGUAAUAUCCCCUUAUGAUUCAAACUAAUUUGGAAUUUAAUCGAUAACAAGCUCGUUACUUAUAAAAGUGAUAUCAUUUUUGGGAUGAUAAAAUGCAUUUUAUCCAUAUUACACCAUUUUUUUUGUCCCAAAUUCCUUUUUUAAUUUUUUCUUUUGCUUUAUAAUUUUUUCCUUUGUUUCCUUCUUUUCUUCUUCUCCCCGAACCCCAUCCCACCAGUACCACCACACCACCAACACUGAUCACUAUAACUCCCACGUCCACCAACAAAGGAUUCUGAUCAUCAUUGAAUUCUUUCAUUCGUGUGAGCCCUUUAAUGUUGGUAUGGUGGUUCUAAAGUAAGCUAACAUAGAAAAGAAUGUUUUGAGUGAAAGUGAGAAUUAACAGGCAAGAGCGGCAAUACGUUGAACAUUAAUUUCCUGGGGAGCCAUGGUCUAAUCCCUAAGUUGCGUCUUCAAAAGAUGGAGAGACUUUGAGUGGUGUUCCUGUCCUGACCGGCCAGAUUGCGUCUUCAAAAAAUUUUGACACUGAAUUAUCUAGGAAACUAAUUGCACUUAAAAUGAAAAGUUUUAAUCAAGUUUCUGUAUCAACAAUUUUUUUUUUACCUACUAAAUUAUUUUAACAAAGCAACAGAAAGGUAAGUGUACGAACUUUAGUACACUUGGGAUCCUCGGUGACAAAGUUUUCUAUGCCAAUUCAAUGCCACCUAUAAUAUUUUGUCAAGUGUCAUGUUAUUAUUUGCACUUUAGGGUCCGUUUGUUUCGGGUGAAAAUAUUUUCCUAAUUUCCCGUGUUUGGUUGCACAAAAGUUAUUGAAAAUAUUUUUCUAUGUAAAAUAUUUUCACUCAUCUUAUGGAAAACAACUUCCAUUCCAAACUUACUGAAGUUGUUUUCCGAAAUGCAUGCAUCCCGCCUGUAGUAUGUUCCAAACUUAUUAAAAACAUCUUGUAGUAUGUUCUUUUUUUUUUUAGUGUAAACAGGAGGAUUCGAACCCAAGACCUCUUCCUUACACUCCCUCCCCCGUACCACCCAACCUUCCCCCUAGUAUAUUCAAAAUAAAAAAAAAACCUCAUCCUGCUCAUCCUAUGCUAGUAAUUAAUUAUGUAUAAUAGGGACAUUCUUUUCUAGAGAAAUUUUUAGUAGUGAGAGUGCAAGAUAUAUGUCACAAUAAGCAUUGCAAGUGAUUGAUAUUUGACACUAAAUGACCAGCAAUUUGUUUAUUACUUAAAGAGAUAUUUUUUAUUCAUAUAUACAUUUCUCCAAGAUUUUUUUAAAGUUAAACAAUGAGAUAAAUUUUCUUAUUUUGCAUGGGAAGAAGUAUGUAGUUGUAAUGUGUAGAAAGUAAAGAUAGAGAUAAAAGUGAAAAUAUUUCAAAAGUUAAACAAACACUAGAAAAAUGAAGUAAGAAAAUAUUUUCAAUCAGCUAACCAAACACCUGAAAAUGAUGAAAGGGAAAUGAUUUUCAUGGAAAAUUACUUCCAUGAAAAAUAUUUUUCCAAGGAAAACAUUUUACUUCCAACCAAACAGACCCUUAAUUUUCUAAUAAUUCAACCGGUUUGGUUUAACACAAGUUUUUUCUAUUCUCUAAAACUUUGAACCAAACCAAACCAACCGGUCUAAUUCCAUUCAUCAUUGAUUGCCUUCCAACAAAAUUGCACAGGAACUCUUUUUGACGUUGAUUGCUUUGAAAAAGCCAAAAAGAGAAAAUUCCCAGAAACUAGUGUGCUGAAAAUUCCGAAAUGGUGACUCGCACCGCUGCUGGAAAUUCUUUCAGCUAUAUUGUUGGCUGACUCCGAUGAGCUCUACACUUCAACGACGUCAUCCUUUUGAUUCCUCCACCAGCUCCACCAAUUAAGAAAGAUAACACUGCUCCAAGUAAAUGUACCUUCUCUCAAAGGAGGACGUAAAUCUGGUGCCCAGUUUUGCAGUUCCCGGCUGAUGCCCAAUUGAAUAGCAGCAACCUGACCUGCUCCGAGGAGUGCCCAAUGGCAAUUAGCUGAUAACAAAAGAAAAUUGCUAAAGUUGAAUUGAAUCAUCAAUUAACUCAUCCUAGGCAGGUAGAAUGAUUUCACACACAGCUUGCAUGAUUAAGGAACCACGUGGUUUUAAAUUUGCUCGAAAAAUUAAUCCCACGGUAAGGACUAAAACCUCAAACACCACCAACCAACCUCCCAAAAGAGACCCCCAAAAAAAAGCAAUAAUAAUCAAAGAAGAAAGACUGAAGCAGAGCUAAGUUACAUAAAAGAAACACUGGGGUUUCAUUGGUUAUCAAAGAGCCGCAGAAAGCUUUAAUUUGAGGACUUCCUGAAUAGGUCUUGUCAAUUUGCUUCAACAGUCGAAGGCUACAGUUUUAGCUUAUUAGACAACGGUUGAAGCUUUCAGGGACUUUUUCUUUUUGACUUUGUUCAAAGCAAUCAACGAUGAAAAGGUUUGGACUUUGGAGGCAAUUUUGUUUAGGGUUAUCUUUUUUUUUUUUCUAAAGCAAUCGAUCUUGAGUGGUUGCUGUACAAAAGUAUUGGUAAUGGAAUUAGACCAGUUGGUUUGGUUUGGUUCAAAGUUUUAGAGGAUAGAAAAAACUUGUGUUAAACCAAAUCAGUUGAAUUAUUAGAAAAUUAAAGUGCAAAUAAUAACAGGAUACUUGGCAAAAUAUUAUAGGUGGCAUUGGGUUGGCAUAGAAAACUUUGUCACCGAGGAUCCCAGGUGACUUUAGUAAGGAAGCUAUGUAUUGAUUUUUAUUUUUAUUUUUUUUUUGUCAAAAGAAGCUAUGUAUUGAUUGAUAAACUGAAAUAUGCAAUAGUUGGACCACGGCAGGAACGGUUGACCGUUCUUGGCGAUUUUGUGCAUUUUACACACGGCGUAACUUUAUUUGCACAACGUAUAAUUUUAGAAUAAAAUUUUGUGAGUCCUACACAUGAUGUGAAAAUCGAGGUACAAGAUGUGAUCUGAACCAUAUAUUUUUUGUGACCAAAUCCUGAUCAUGAACGGUGCGCAGCGAUGGUUCUUCUGAUGAUCGUCCAUGUCCCUGUCCAUGUCCCUUAUCCACAAUAGUUAUGUAUUAGUACAAGUAUUCAUUUUUUAAUCUUCUCAUCCUUACAAUCCCAAGGAGAAAAAUGUGGUUGACUAUUCUUUGCUAUUAAUCUCUGAAGAGAAAAUCAUAUUUAAAGUGCAAAUGGAAAGUACUUACACAAAUAAUACAGCUACAAAUGCUGGUUUUAUAUGUUCAAGGAGAAAAAUUUUAGAAAUUUUCAAUUUUAUUAGUUUCAGCUCAUAUAUAGAAAAUCAUAUGUAGGCAGAACAAAGUGUUUAAAAAUUGAAAUUUGGUAGAUCAAAAAUGAAUAAGAAAAUGAAAUAACUAAUGAAAAGGUGCAUGCAAUUUAGCUUUAAAAAAAAUUUUCUUGACAUAAUAGAUAAAAUUUUAACAAGUCAACAGGUAACGCUAAAAUAAUUAAUGGCAAGUUAAAUUUUAUAAAUCAAUUAACCAAACAGUACUAGUAAGGUCAAAAAAUAUGUAUAGAGAGGUAAAUGUACAAAUUUUUUUUUUCUUAAUGUUCAAAUUUUUCAUAAAGCAACAGCAAGGUUGUGUCUUCUUCUUCGCAGAUGUCAAAGUCGAUCAAAUGACGCAGGAGCUGGAAGACAAACUUUCGAACAAUUAAUGUAAGGGACUACCUUUAGGUCUUGUUAUGCUUUGGAGAUUUCAUGCGAACAAAGCUAGUGAACUCCGUGUGGUUAUUAACAUUGCAUUUUUUGGGUCUCGUUUACUUUUCCAAAUGGAAGCACAAAGAAACCUCCAAAUUGUACUAUAAACGAACAUUUAAACGAGGAUGCAGGUAAAAAAGAACCAACAAAGGAUUCUGAUCAUCAUUGAAUUCUUUCAUUUGUGACAACCCUUUAAUGUCCGGAUGGGGAGGGUUCUAAAGUAAGUUAACAAUAGAAAGGAUGUUUGAGCGAAGGAGAGAAUUAAUAGGCAAGAGUGCCAAUACUUCGCACAUUUCCUGGGGAGCCUUUUUGAGUGGUGUUCCUGUCCUGACCGGCCAGAUUGCUCAAGAUUACUGAAAACUUGUAAUUUGCCACUAAUCUAGAAUGAUAUAAAGGCACUGACAUGUUAGAACUUGUAAUUUGUCAUCAGUUAUAUCAACAAUGGUUAUGGUUUUUACCUUUACGGUCCUUUUCUCUUCAAUCUCUUGUUUACCGUUUUAUAUAAGGAGGAGGAUGAACAAAGACCUCUCGCCAUCGAAGUAAUCAAACAUUAGAACCAAGUAAAAGCAUUAACAAAGAAGUCUCAAUAUUCGCACUCAUAUAUAUGGGAAAACCAUCAGUUUUGGUAUUGGCGCGGGGGUCUAAAGUAAGCUAACACAGCAAAGACUGUCUGGAUUAAGGUGAGGAUGAAAAGCAAGAUAGCCAAUAGUUUGAACCUUUCCCAGGGAGCAAUGUUAUAGUCUCUCAGUUGGAUCCUCAAAAGGUGGAGGUUUGGAGUGGUGUGCUUGUCCUGGCUGGCCAGAUUGCUCAAGAUUGUAGGCAACUUCUCUUUAUGGUAGGGGUUGUCUGCUUUGAUGAUUCCUUUUUUGGCUAACAGCUUGACAUCUUCAUAGGUACAAAUGAGAUCGUUCAUGAACUGCAGAUAGGAUCUCACCUCGCGUUUGCUCUUGCCCUGUUGUUGACUCUCCUCGUAAUGCUUCAGGCUUUUGAAAACUAGUUCUGUAUCAUCACCAACUGUGAAUACCGGCAAGUAAAGACGAGCAAAGAUGAAGUAGUCUGUAAAACUUAUCUCUGUACAGCCCACCUUUUUCACUUUCCUAAAACGGAUUCCCUUCUUAUUCAACUCGGAGGCGCUA
RNAcentral lists this long non-coding RNA (19871 nucleotides) under Coffea arabica (coffee). RNAcentral's name for it is "long non-coding RNA (CARA_LNC002433)". Lineage: Eukaryota; Viridiplantae; Streptophyta; Magnoliopsida; Gentianales; Rubiaceae. The record is from RNAcentral.